RNAcentral lists this ribosomal RNA (252 nucleotides) under uncultured bacterium. Its description in RNAcentral is "partial 16S ribosomal RNA". It matches the Rfam family "Bacterial small subunit ribosomal RNA", at positions 524 to 775 of the family's 1533-position model. The record is from RNAcentral.
UACGGAGGGAGCUAGCGUUAUUCGGAAUUACUGGGCGUAAAGCGCACGUAGGCGGCUUUGUAAGUUAGAGGUGAAAGCCUGGAGCUCAACUCCAGAAUUGCCUUUAAGACUGCAUCGCUUGAAUCCAGGAGAGGUGAGUGGAAUUCCGAGUGUAGAGGUGAAAUUCGUAGAUAUUCGGAAGAACACCAGUGGCGAAGGCGGCUCACUGGACUGGUAUUGACGCUGAGGUGCGAAAGCGUGGGGAGCAAACAG